GCAAUCUCUAAGUACCUGUGGGGAGAUCCAGAUGGCUCAUAUCUUGCUACCUUGCUGCACCUCUACCUUCUUGGGUCCUGUGCAAACCUUGAUGAGAAGCAGAAGAUGACUUCCCACCCCACAGCCUGGGAGAUCCAGCCAGCCUAUGUAAGCAGCAGACACUGGACGGUAAAGGAAACGAAUCCUUCAUAUAUUGUGUGAGCCCAGCAGGGAAACAGAAAUGCUUUCCAAGAAGAGAAAAGAAAGAAAAAUGUUGGCCUGUCAUUGGUGAAUUCGUAUGUCAUGGGCAACAUGAAUUCUGAACCUAGAAAGCUUUCAUUUGAAGGUAUGAUUCCCAUUACCCCGUUUCUUUCUUUCU
Molecule: long non-coding RNA, 358 nt
Filed under: Phasianus colchicus (ring-necked pheasant)
Lineage: Eukaryota; Metazoa; Chordata; Aves; Galliformes; Phasianidae
Description: lncRNA (ENSPCLG00000005789.1)
Source: RNAcentral